AAGAGAGCCGUCUAUUGACAGUUCGCUUGUUUCAUGUGCUGUCAUGGAGUCGCUCUCUUCA
This 61-nucleotide microRNA precursor is filed under the name Caenorhabditis briggsae. RNAcentral describes it as "Cbr-Mir-281-P3_pre stem-loop". It matches the Rfam family "mir-46/mir-47/mir-281 microRNA precursor family", at positions 15 to 72 of the family's 85-position model. From Rfam's summary of the family: The hairpin precursors (represented here) are predicted based on base pairing and cross-species conservation -- their extents are not known. In this case the mature sequences are expressed from the 3' arms of the hairpin precursors. The record is from RNAcentral. Lineage: Eukaryota; Metazoa; Nematoda; Chromadorea; Rhabditida; Rhabditidae.